Molecule: long non-coding RNA, 4078 nt
Filed under: Homo sapiens (human)
Lineage: Eukaryota; Metazoa; Chordata; Mammalia; Primates; Hominidae
Description: HSALNT0335579
Source: RNAcentral
AGAUGGAGUCUCACUCUGUUGCCUAAGCGGGAGUGCAGUUGAGUGAUCUUGGCUCACUGCAGCCUCUGCCUCCCAAGUUCAAGUGACUUUCCUGCCUCAGCCUCCUGAGUGUCUGGGAUUACAAGUGCCCACCACCAUGCCUGGCUAAUUUUUGUAAUUUUAGUAGAGACAGGGUUUCACCAUGUUGGCCAUGCUGGUCUCGAACUCCUGACCUCAAGCGAUCUGCUCGCCUCAGCCUACCAAAGUGCUGGGAUUACAGGCAUCAGCCACCGCACCGGCCUCUUUAUUUUUUUUUAUUUUUUGAGACAAGAGUCACUCUGUUGCCCAGGCUGGAGUGCAGUGGCACCAUCUUGGUUCACUGCAACCUGUCUCCCAGUUUCAAGCGAUUCUUCUGCCUCAGCCUCCUGAGUAGCUGGGAUUACAGGGUGUGCCACCACAGCUGGCUAAUUUUUGUAUUUUAAGUAGAAACGGGAUUUCACUAUGUUGGCCAGGCUGGUCUCGAACCCCUGGCCUCAAAUGAUCUGCCCCACCCCCCGGAACCUCCCAAAGUGCUGGGAUUACAGGCACGAGCCACUGCACCCAGCCUAGAUAUUUUAAUUUGUAACCUAUUUACUAGUUUAUAAACAGAUGUAGGUUGAGUAUGGUGUUUUGAAUUAUGUGAACCAAACAUAUACCUAGGGUAUCCUCAAUAUCCUAUUUUCAUCCAGGGAGUGAUUUAAAUGCUAAGGUGCAUAAUCCACAUUUAGUACUAGGAAAUGUUUUCUAAAUAUUUAAAUAAGAAAAAUGAAAGAAGAAAUUGACAUUUGAAUGCCUGUCAGGUACUCGGCAUUCUGCUACGCAUCUUUUUUUUUUUUUUUUUUUAACCCUAACAACCCAAUGGGGCAAAUAUAUCAUUUUACAGGUAAAGAAACUGAGGCUCACAGAUGUUAGGUAACUUGUCCAAGGUUGCAUAGCUAGUAAAUGUGUAUAGAAUUCAAACUGAAUUCUGACUUCAAAAUCUGUAAAUGUCUCACUGAACCAUUGGUCCUUAAACCCUUGGGAGUCAUGGACUUGUUUCAAAAUUGUAUAAAACUACAUCACCUUUCUUUCGAGAAAUGCACACACAGUAGUUUGGCAUUUCGCUUUACAGAGCCUAGACCUGAAGCUCUGGGUCUAUUAUGCCACGUGAAGAUACCCUGCACCAGACAGUACUGCAUUAAGUAACAUAUAUCUAUCUAUACAAGUACCCUACAUAUUCUACUACCCUGUCUUUGGAAAACAAAUCUAAUUUUUAAAUCUAAGAAAUUAUAAUUUUAUUUAUUUUUGAGACAGUGUCUUACUCUGUAGCCCAGGCUUGAGUAUAGUGACACCAUCUCGGCUCUCUGCAAACUCCACCUUCCAGGUUCAAGAGAUUCUCGCGCCUCAGCCUCCUGAGUAGCAUGCGCCACCACGCCCGGCUAAUUUUUUUUGGUAUUUUUUAGUAGAGACCUGCUUUCACCAUGUUGAUCUGCCAACCUCAGCCUCCCAAAGUGCUGAGACUGCAGGUGUGAGCCACCAGUCAGCCAGAAAUUUAAUGUAGUUUAGAAGGAUUACAAAAGUAUUUCUACAUACCUUUAAAUUUUGACUAAUUUUGCCUCUGGCAAUGGGAUCAAAAUAAAUGCAGCAAUUCUUAUUUGUAAUGCAACAGCAUGUCUUAGAACAGUUAGAUCUCAAGUAAACUUUACAAAUAAAGUACUGGAAUUAAUUUACAUUUAAAAAUAAAUUAGCCCAGUGGCCUAAAAUUAAAUCCGAGGCUCCAAAUAAAAAUUUCAGCAAAUUCCCCUAUUAUCUGUUAACACCGAAAAAUAUCAGCUGCUAUAAAUUAUUUGUGCAUUAUUCCUGGGGAGAAAGCAAGCAAGCCGCUGUCAUGGCAGUCUCUAUUUUCUUUGACCCUAACUUAUCCUCUAUGAUCCUGAAUAAAUGGUAGGUAGUACCCCUGCACUAAACUUGGGAAGUACUUAAAUAAAUAUAGUCUCUUUAAAAGAACUGAUCACAGAUGUCUAAAAUUAAAACGUUUGAUUUAUUAAUAAACAAAGUAUCUCUCUUAAAUGGGCCAAGAAACAAUUCUAUGACAAAAGUGAACCCUGGAAUAUAGAUAUUCCCAGAAGACAAUUUUCCAGGAUACCCAGCCAAACAAUUUUCACCUAGUCACAAAAGUCAUUUUCAUCGAAGCCUACAGUCAUUCCUUUUUCUAAUUCUAUUCUCUCAUUUCUUUCUAAACAUGAUUUUAAUAAAGCAUAUACCUGUCAAAGACUUCUCUUUGCAAAAGACAUAGGAACAGCAGUCAGGAAGAGGACUCUGAAGCCCAGUCACUCCACAGAUCCAAAGUUUAUGGCUGUGUGCCCUUGUAACUUAGCCUCUCUGCAUCUGUUUCCUUGUCUGUAGUGGUACUAGGUUGGCGCAAAAGUAAUUGCGGGAUAUUUACCUCAUAAGAGUGUUGAUGGUUAAAUACAAGAGUGAAUAACUUAAGACAUAUAGAACAGUGCCAAGCAUGUACUAAAUGCUCAAAAGAGUUUGAGCUAUUAUCAUUCCAGCUUUUUCAUCAAACCAAAUGGUAUCCUCCUAAGCAGCCCAGGGAUUACAAUGACAAACCUAGUCAGAGGUAAAUCAAAGGAUUAAAUAUGUUCAGGAAUACAGAGAUUUGUGAAUACAGAGUAAAGAUACUAUAAUCAAUCCCUAGUUAUUAUUUUUCACAAUGGUACCUAGUUAUUAUUAUUUUUAUAGAUAAAGGGGUCUUGCUAUGUUGCCCAGGCUGGUCUCAAACUCCUGGGCUCAAGCAAUCCUCCUGCCUUGGCCUCCCAAAGUGCUAGGAUUACUGGUGUGAGCCACUGUGCCCAGCCCCUAGUUUUUAAAAUGAUUUCACUUAUGUGUAUGAACCCAAACAUUCUGAAAAUACUAAAAAUUUCUAUCAAUAUCUGUCUUACUCAUUCUUCAGAUUAUCCUUUAGAUUUUCAGUAGUGCCACAUAAUUUUAUAACUAAAUUUUAUUAUAGCGGAAUAAUUCAAAGAGUUGUAGUUUUGAAAUAAAUUUUGCUAUGAUUAGAGAAAAUCUAUUCAGAAAGUACAAUAUACAUUAAUUUAUGGCACUUGUCCAAAUAUUACCAGCAUACAAAUUAUUGUUUAAGGUUGUUUCUUACAUAUGGGAUCUAAUAUGCAAAGAAAACUGGAAUUUGUAUUCAAAACAAAUAGAAGCAACACUGGCUCCUAUAUACUAAAAAUAUAAGACAGAUUUUUUUCUUAAACACUCUGGAUACAAAUACUAACUGUAUGGAUUGAGAACUUUGAAGUUUUCAUAAUGUAAGUCACAAAGUAUACAAGUAGAGCUCUAUAAAUAUAUCCCCUAUAAUAAUCAUAUGCAAAACCAUUCUAUCACAAACACUACCAAAACCCUUUGAAAAACAUAAACUACAACACAUUUUCAAAGAAAUUAUUAGUUAUAACAACUACAAAAGCAAUAAAUAUCAAUAAAGUUAUUUGGCUGUCAGAAAUGAAGGGCAGUAUAAUGUAAAAUUCAAAUACUGCAAAGUUGUUUUUUGAAGAUGUAGUCUCGAGUUUCUUCUUCUUCUUUUUUUUAAAUUUUAGAGACAGGAUUUCACCAUGUUGCCCAGGCUGGUCUCAAUCUCCUGGCCUCAAGCAAUCUGCCCGCCUCGACCUCCCAAAGUGCUGGGAUUACAGGAGUGAACCACCACGCUUGGCCAAGUUUCUUAAUACAAGGUACUAAACACUCUUUCAAAAAUAAUAAGACUUGUUCCAUAUAAAGUUGAGCAAGAACUCUAAAAAGAAAAAAUUAAGCAACAGAUGAAAAGUAGGUAUGUGGAAAUAAUGGUAUCAAAUAUGAUUUUAUACAAAAUGUACCAUUCUUCAAAUGUGUAAGUCUUAAUAUGAAUAUUUUUGGAUUGUGAGUGUUGCUCAGCCUAAUUUUUAAAGAAUUAGUCUCAAACCAUUCAAAAUCCAGUAUUUCUCAAAAGUUCUGAUAUUACUAAUGUGGUCAUGGUGCAGGAUGCAAUUUCAUGUCAACUUACCUAUACUGUUCUACCCAAUAAAAAUAUAACCUUUGAGCU